This 442-nucleotide ribosomal RNA is filed under the name uncultured Bacillota bacterium. Its description in RNAcentral is "bacterial SSU rRNA". It matches the Rfam family "Bacterial small subunit ribosomal RNA", at positions 917 to 1359 of the family's 1533-position model. The record is from RNAcentral. Lineage: Bacteria; Bacillati; Bacillota.
GGGCCCGCACAAGCAGCGGAGCAUGUGGUUUAAUUCGAAGCAACGCGAAGAACCUUACCAGGUCUUGACAUUGAUGUAAGCUGCAAGAGAUUGCAGGUGUCUUCGGACAACAGAAAACAGGUGGUGCAUGGUUGUCGUCAGCUCGUGUCGUGAGAUGUUGGGUUAAGUCCCGCAACGAGCGCAACCCUUGCGAUUGGUUGCUAACAGGUAAAGCUGAGAACUCCAGUAGGACUGCCGGGGACAACUCGGAGGAAGGUGGGGACGACGUCAAAUCAUCAUGCCCCUUAUGACCUGGGCUACACACGUGCUACAAUGGCUACUACAAAGAGGAGCGAAGUCGCAAGGCGGAGCAGAUCUGAAAAAAGUAGUCUCAGUUCGGAUUGAGGGCUGCAACCCGCCCUCAUGAAGUCGGAGUUGCUAGUAAUCGCGAAUCAGCAUGUCG